GACGAACGCUGGCGGCGUGCUUAACACAUGCAAGUCGAACGGAAAGGCCCUGCUUUUGUGGGGUGCUCGAGUGGCGAACGGGUGAGUAACACGUGAGUAACCUGCCCUUGACUUUGGGAUAACUUCAGGAAACUGGGGCUAAUACCGGAUAGGAGCUCCUGCUGCAUGGUGGGGGUUGGAAAGUUUCGGCGGUUGGGGAUGGACUCGCGGCUUAUCAGCUUGUUGGUGGGGUAGUGGCUUACCAAGGCUUUGACGGGUAGCCGGCCUGAGAGGGUGACCGGCCACAUUAGGACUGAGAUACGGCCCAGACUCCUACGGGAGGCAGCAGUGGGGAAUAUUGCACGAUGGGCGGAAGCCUGAUGCAGCAACGCCGCGUGCGGGAUGACGGCCUUCGGGUUGUAAACCGCUUUCGCCUGUGACGAAGCGUGAGUGACGGUAAUGGGUAAAGAAGCACCGGCUAACUACGUG
This 468-nucleotide ribosomal RNA is filed under the name uncultured bacterium. Its description in RNAcentral is "partial 16S ribosomal RNA". It matches the Rfam family "Bacterial small subunit ribosomal RNA", at positions 28 to 507 of the family's 1533-position model. The record is from RNAcentral.